UUAAAGUUGUUGCAGUUAAAAAGCUCGUAGUUGGAUUUCGGAAGGUCCUUAGUAGUCCGCCCCUUCGGGGAGCGGGCUGCUGGCCUCCUAUGUUCCUAACGGUCCUCAUCCGCGAGGGUGGGGAAUCAACCGCUAGGAUCGUUUACUUUGAGGAAAUUAGAGUGUUCAAAGCAGGCGUAACUCGCCUCCGAAUACGUUAGCAUGGGAUAAUGGAAUACGACUUCGGUCUUGUUUCGUUGGUUUCGCUUGGCUGAAGUAAUGAUUGAUAGGGACAGUUGGGGGCAUUAGUAUUUAGUUGUCAGAGGUGAAAUUCUAGGAUUUACUAAAGACUGACCAAUGCGAAAGCAUUUGCCAAGGAUGUUUUCAUUAAUCAAGAACGAAAGUAGGGGGAUCGAAAACGAUCAGAUACCGUCGUAGUCUCUACCGUAAACUAUGCCGACCAGGGAUCCGGAGAGUUUGCAUGGAUGACUCCCCGGGCACCUUGUGAGAAAUCAUAAGUGUUUGGGUUUUGGGGGGAGUAUGGUCGCAAGGCUGAAACUUAAAGGAAUUGACGGAAGGGCACCACCAGGAGUGGAACCUGCGGCUUAAUUUGACUCAACACGGGGAAACUUACGAGGUCAGGACACUGUGAGGAUUGACAGAUUGAAAGCUCUUUCUUGAUUCAGUGGGUGGUGGUGCAUGGCCGUUCUUAGUUGGUGGAGUGAUUUGUCUGGUUAAU
This 718-nucleotide ribosomal RNA is filed under the name Vermamoeba vermiformis. Its description in RNAcentral is "SSU rRNA". It matches the Rfam family "Eukaryotic small subunit ribosomal RNA", at positions 604 to 1323 of the family's 1831-position model. The record is from RNAcentral. Lineage: Eukaryota; Tubulinea; Echinamoebida; Vermamoebidae.